Molecule: microRNA precursor, 159 nt
Filed under: Pelobates cultripes (western spadefoot toad)
Lineage: Eukaryota; Metazoa; Chordata; Amphibia; Anura; Pelobatidae
Source: RNAcentral
GCUGACACAUCCCGGCCAAUCUCGGGCAGACCCUCCCUCCCAGACCCUCCCACCUCCUGGACAGCAUCCAUGUUGAAGCUGCCUUCAACAUGGAUGCUGUCCAGGAAGUAGGAGGGACUGGGAGGGAGGGUCUGCCGGAGAUUGGCCGGGAUGUGUCAG